Molecule: ribosomal RNA, 2151 nt
Filed under: Triticum aestivum (bread wheat)
Lineage: Eukaryota; Viridiplantae; Streptophyta; Magnoliopsida; Poales; Poaceae
Description: partial small subunit ribosomal RNA
Source: RNAcentral
AUGCAGUCACUCCAUUUUUCGUACAAGACACACACCAACAAAUUGCACAUACCUUCCCUCGGCCUUGCUCUUAUGCUGCUGGUCUGCUUGGCCUCUCAUACCAGUUCCUGCACGGAGCAGGAGAAGGGCUCCCUUCUCCAGUUCCUUGCCAAGCUCUCACAAGACGGUGGCCUCGCUGCAUCCUGGCGGAAUGGCACGAAUUGCUGCAAGUGGGAAGGGAUCACCUGCAGGGAAGAUGGGACGGUCACCGCUGUCUUGCUGCCUUCGAAGGGCCUCCACGGGCACAUCUCACAAUCCCUUGGAAACCUAACCGGGCUGCAGUACCUUGAUCUCUCUGACAACUUGUUGUCCGGUGGUCUGCCGGUGGAGUUGGUGUUCUCCAACAGCAUCACAACCCUUGAUGUCAGCUUUAACCGGCUCAAUAGCAUACUCGACGAGCUGCCAUCUUCAACCCCUGACCGGUCUAUGCAGGUACUGAACAUCUCAAGCAACUUAUUUGUGGGACAGUUUCCAUCCACCAUAUGGAAAGCAAUGGGGAAUCUGGUCGCACUCAAUGCCAGCAACAACAGCUUUACUGGGCAGAUACCAGCUUAUUUCUGUGAAACCUCACCAUUCUUCGCCGUGCUUGAUCUAUGCUUCAACAAAUUCAGUGGCAACAUCCCCCAAGGACUUUGUGAUUGCUCCAGGCUGAGAGAGCUCAGGGCCGGGAACAACAACCUCAGUGGAACACUCCCAGAUGAACUCUUCAACGCUACCUUGUUGGAGUACCUGUCUUUUCCUAACAAUGAUCUACAUGGAGCUCUUGAUGAUGUGCUCAUAAUCAACCUCAGAAAUAUCGUCACCCUAGAUCUUGGAGGGAACAAAUUCAGUGGCAGGAUUCCAGAUUCUAUAGGUCAGCUCAAGAAACUGGAGGAGUUCCAUUUGGACAACAACAUGAUGUUAGGGGAGUUGCCAUCAGCUCUGAGCAACUGCACGAAUCUCAGAACAAUUGAUAUCAAGACGAACAAAUUCAGUGGAGAACUCACCAAGGUCAAUUUCUCCAACCUUCCCUCUCUGAAAACAUUAGACCUUCUGAACAACAACUUCACUGGCACAGUUCCAGAAAGCAUUUACUCCUGCAGCAAUCUGACUGCACUGCGGCUAGAAGGCAACAAGUUACAUGGGCAGCUUUCACCACAAAUAAGCAAUCUGAAGUCCCUCUCCUUCCUAGCACUUGGUAAAAACAAUUUCACAAACAUCACAAAUACACUUCAGAUCCUUAAGAGCUGCAGGAACAUUACCACUCUUCUUAUCGGCGAUAACUUCAAGGGAGAGCUCAUGCCAGAGGAUGACAGCAAUGAUGGCUUUGAAAAUCUCCAGGUUUUGGACAUCAAAGAUUGCCAGUUGUCGGGAGAAAUACCUGUAUGGAUAUCAAGGCUCACACAUUUGAAGAUGUUACUUUUAAAUAGCAAUCAACUCACUGGGCCAAUACCAACCUGGAUCAGCUCCCUAAGAUAUCUCUUCUUUAUGGAUGUGUCAAAUAACAAUCUUAUAGGAGAGAUUCUGUUAACCUUCACGGAGAUGCCCAUGCUAACUGACAGCAAAACUCAUUUGGACCCAAGGGUCUUUGAGCUGCCUCUUUAUAAAGGUCCAUCACUUCAAUACCGUGUGGUUACAUCUUUCCCAAACACGUUAAAUCUAAGCAACAACAACUUCACAGGUGUGAUUCCCCCACAGAUUGGUCAGUUGGAAGUGCUUGGUGUACUUGAUUUCAGUUUCAAUAAGUUAUUCGGGCAGAUCCCCCAAUCGUUUUGCAACCUCACAAACUUGCAGGUGCUAGACUUGUCCAACAACAAUCUCACAGGUGAUAUCCCAGCUGCAUUGAAUAGCCUGCACUUCCUUUCAGCAUUCAGCAUUUCAAACAAUGACCUACAAGGGCCUAUUCCAUCUGGAGGCCAGUUUGAAACAUUUCAGAAUUCUAGUUUUGAUGGGAACCCAAAGCUGUGUGGCUCUAUUCUCAGUCACAAAUGUGUUUCUGUAAAAGCACAAGAAGCCAUCAUUCUGUCAAGAAAACAAACUGACUACAAGGUGGGCUUUGUGAUUGCCUUCAGUGCGUUCUUUGGUGUAGGGGUGUUGUAUGAUCAGUUAGUCUUAUCCAGGUAUUUUAGCUAG